GAGCCGCGAUUUGAUUGUAUUAAUUUUAUUGCAUGUCCAGAUGGCGUUACAGACCGCUUUUAUUGUUUUAGGCCGUUGGCCCUCUAAUUGUUGCAUAGAGGGCAGGCCUGUAGUCAUUGAGUUUUAGGCCUGAAAUUACGGCCGUUUAGUAAUCGUCUGUAGCUGUCAGUUGACAUAUUGCGUCUUGACUUUUACUCUUCUUUGAUGUGAAUCUUUUGUGCUUUUCCGUGGCUUUUAAAGGAUAAGGAUUGCCCGGAAUUUCAUGUUGCCUGUCUGUAGACUUGAAUUGAGGUGCAUGAGAAGCACAUGUGGAAUUGGUGAGACACGUUUUAGAUUGUUGGUUACAUUAUGUUUUAUCCCUGGCUUGACCUAAUUGAAUUUGUAUGUUUAGACACUAUUUGUCUUCCCAUUGAGUUGAAAAGGCCUGCGUUGCAGGAUUGAGUAUUGACUCACCCAAGCCUGGUCACUUCCAGGUAUUCGUAAAGUGUUGUUCAUGUGAUUUGUGUCAUUAUCUUAAUUGUAUUUGUAUCGUAUAGGAUUGGUGAUAGCUUUUGAAUUGUUGUUUUGACACAGUGUGCCUUACACCCACACUUUGACGUGUUUUGAAGUGAAAUACAGUCCACUUCCUACCACCGA
Molecule: long non-coding RNA, 636 nt
Organism: Daphnia pulicaria
Lineage: Eukaryota; Metazoa; Arthropoda; Branchiopoda; Diplostraca; Daphniidae
Exons: 2
Source: RefSeq, a predicted model, not a curated record